RNAcentral lists this transfer RNA (76 nucleotides) under Arthrobacter phage Mimi. Its description in RNAcentral is "tRNA-Leu". It matches the Rfam family "tRNA". Rfam says of the family: Transfer RNA (tRNA) molecules are approximately 80 nucleotides in length. Their secondary structure includes four short double-helical elements and three loops (D, anti-codon, and T loops). Further hydrogen bonds mediate the characteristic L-shaped molecular structure. tRNAs have two regions of fundamental functional importance: the anti-codon, which is responsible for specific mRNA codon recognition, and the 3' end, to which the tRNAs corresponding amino acid is attached (by aminoacyl-tRNA synthetases). tRNAs cope with the degeneracy of the genetic code in two manners: having more than one tRNA (with a specific anti-codon) for a particular amino acid; and 'wobble' base-pairing, i.e. permitting non-standard base-pairing at the 3rd anti-codon position. RNAcentral also lists the same sequence under 1 other name. The record is from RNAcentral. Lineage: Duplodnaviria; Heunggongvirae; Uroviricota; Caudoviricetes.
GGGCUGGUAGAGAAUUGGUAUAUCGCUGAUACUCAAAAUAUCAGGUCGUUGUGGGUUCGAGUCCCACCCAGCCUAC